CGGCCCCGCCAGGCGCCCGGGCCCUUUGCACGCGGCGCCCCGCUCUGCGCCGGCCUCCCGGGGAGGCGCGCGGGGCGUUUUGCACGCGGGGCGUUUUGCACGCGGGACGUUUUGCACGCGGGGCGUUUUGCACGCGGCGCCCGGCUCUGCGCUGCGGCCCGGCGCGCUGCCGGCGGGAGGUUUGCACACAGCGCUCUGCUCCUCGCUGUGCAGAGCGGGGCAGCGCGGCCGAGGUUUGCACGCAGCACCCUGCCCUCGCUCGGCGUCCCGCGCCCGGGGAGGUUUGCACGCGUCGCCCCGGCCGGGCGCAGCGCAGCCUGCACGCGCCGUCCGCCCCGGGCCGCGCGCCCGGCYCUGCGGGGGUCGCCCUCGCCCGCACGCCGGCACCGUGCGCAGGGGCUCCGCACCCGCCCCCUCCCCGCGGCCGCAUAAGGAGGAGGCAGAGGCCGCGGGCAGCAAACCGCCCGCCUGGCCGAGGGGCCCCGUGCCGCAGCGCUGCGCCAGCCAUGGACCCCCGGGACUGCGCCUGCGAGGCCGGCGCCUCCCGUAGCUGCGCGCCCGGCUGCGAGUGCAGAGCCCGCAACUGCGCGUCGCGCCAGGAAAGCUGCUGCUCCUGCUGCCCGGGUGGCUGCAAGAACUGCGCCGCGGGCUGCAUCUGCGAGGACCCGUCGUCUCCAAGAUGUACCUGCUGUCAGUGACGCGGCUGGCGGCUUCCCGCUCCCWUGGGAAUAUUUUCUGUGUGAAAAUCCUGGUUUUGUAACUUUUUCACCGGUGUGGUAGCUGCCGUCAGCCUCGGCGCGCCUGGGCGUAGCGCGAAGGUGAUGGGAAUAAAGGCUUGAUGCAAGACGUGGAUGCGGGGUUU
RNAcentral lists this long non-coding RNA (862 nucleotides) under Dromaius novaehollandiae (emu). RNAcentral's name for it is "lncRNA (ENSDNVG00000000263.1)". Lineage: Eukaryota; Metazoa; Chordata; Aves; Casuariiformes; Dromaiidae. The record is from RNAcentral.